CUUGGUCAUUUAGAGGAAGUAAAAGUCGUAACAAGGUUUCCGUAGGUGAACCUGCGGAAGGAUCAUUAUCGAAAUUAUUGGUGAGGGUUGUAGCUGGCCUUUCGAGGCAUGUGCACGCUCGAGCCCUUAAUCCACUUUACACCUGUGCACUUAAUGUAGGUCGCCCUUAAAAAAGGUGACCUAUGUCUUAUCAUCAACCCAUCGUAUGUCUCAUAGAAUGUAAUCGAUAUCCUCGCCCUAAAAAGGCGUUGAUAAACUUAUACAACUUUCAACAACGGAUCUCUUGGCUCUCGCAUCGAUGAAGAACGCAGCGAAAUGCGAUAAGUAAUGUGAAUUGCAGAUUUUCAGUGAAUCAUCGAAUCUUUGAACGCACCUUGCGCUCCUUGGUAUUCCGAGGAGCAUGCCUGUUUGAGUGUCAUUAAAUUCUCAACUCCAAGGGUUUCACGACCUUUCGGAGAUUGGACUUGGAGGUGCUGGCCGCAUAUUGGUCGGCUCCUCUCAAAUGCAUCAGCGGAAUUCAACCUUUGGCUUCCGGAUGUCAGUGUGAUAAUCAUGUUGCGCUGUCGUUUGAUCCCUCAGAGUCCGCUUAUAAUGGUCUUCGGACAAAAUCAUCAUCAAAUUUGACCUCAAAUCAGGUAGGACUACCCGCUGAACUUAAGCAUAUCAAUAAGCGGAGGA
Molecule: ribosomal RNA, 678 nt
Filed under: uncultured Atheliaceae
Lineage: Eukaryota; Fungi; Basidiomycota; Agaricomycetes; Atheliales; Atheliaceae
Description: eukaryotic LSU rRNA
Rfam family: 5.8S ribosomal RNA (bases 264-418)
Source: RNAcentral